RNAcentral lists this ribosomal RNA (254 nucleotides) under uncultured bacterium. RNAcentral's name for it is "partial 16S ribosomal RNA". It matches the Rfam family "Bacterial small subunit ribosomal RNA", at positions 524 to 777 of the family's 1533-position model. The record is from RNAcentral.
GACGUAGGGCGCGAGCGUUGUCCGGAUUUAUUGGGCGUAAAGAGCUCGUAGGCGGCUUGUCGCGUCGUCCGUGAAAACCUGCGGCUCAACUGCAGGCUGGCGGUCGAUACGGGCAGGCUGGAGUACUGCAGGGGAGACUGGAAUUCCUGGUGUAGCGGUGGAAUGCGCAGAUAUCAGGAGGAACACCGGUGGCGAAGGCGGGUCUCUGGGCAGUAACUGACGCUGAGGAGCGAAAGCGUGGGGAGCGAACAGGA